RNAcentral lists this ribosomal RNA (334 nucleotides) under uncultured eukaryote. Its description in RNAcentral is "partial 18S ribosomal RNA". It matches the Rfam family "Eukaryotic small subunit ribosomal RNA", at positions 1470 to 1796 of the family's 1831-position model. The record is from RNAcentral.
CCCUUAGAUGUCCGGGGCCGCACGCGCGCUACACUGAAGGAAUCAGCGUGGCUUUCUCCCUGACCCGAAAGGGUUGGGAAACCCGUUGAAUCUCCUUCGUGAUAGGGAUUGGGGCUUGAAAUUGUUCCCCAUGAACGAGGAAUUCCCAGUAAGCGCGAGUCAUAAGCUCGCGUUGAUUACGUCCCUGCCCUUUGUACACACCGCCCGUCGCUACUACCGAUUGAACGGUUUAGUGAGGGCCUCGGAUUGGUCUCGGCCCGCUCUUUACCGGGCGGCGCCGUUGGUCGAGAGGACGCUCGAACUUGAUCGUUUAGAGGAAGUAAAAGUCGUAACA